Molecule: ribosomal RNA, 253 nt
Filed under: uncultured bacterium
Lineage: Bacteria
Description: partial 16S ribosomal RNA
Rfam family: Bacterial small subunit ribosomal RNA
Source: RNAcentral
UACGAGUGCCCCAAGCGUUAUCCGGAAUUAUUGGGCGUAAAGGGUGUGUAGGUGGCGAUGUUAGUCUUCUGUCAAAUUCUUCGGCUUAACCGGGGGUCUGCAGGGGAAACGGCAUUGCUCGAGUGUGCAAGGGGUGAAUGGAACUCAUGGAGUAGGGGUGAAAUCCGUUGAUAUCAUGGGGAACACCAAAAGCGAAGGCAAUUCACUGGUGCAUUACUGACACUGAAACACGAAAGCGUGGGUAGCGAACGGG